Labeo rohita (rohu) is the source of this 4301-nucleotide long non-coding RNA. RefSeq lists it as uncharacterized. Lineage: Eukaryota; Metazoa; Chordata; Actinopteri; Cypriniformes; Cyprinidae. The record is from RefSeq and is a predicted model, not a curated record. The transcript has 3 exons.
UUGAAGUCAUUCGAGGUGAAACGGUCAAUGACUGAAACAUACCUUGAAUUGAAUGUGUCUGAGAAUGCGUCAUUACUGCUAUGACACAUUGAAUGCAGUUUAUGAUCACAAAGCCAUCAUCUCAAUGUCAUGAUACCAGUAAAUGAACGUGCAACAGUCUGAAGCCCAAGGGCACAGCAAGCUUGGGACAUGCAGAGAUAUUUCCCAGCAGAGCGCUCCAGGCUAAAGUCCUAAUUCAGAGUGAAUUCUAAGCAAAGAAGAAUUCUCUUCUACCUUGCAGAUUCAUAUGUCAUGGAUAAAGUAUUCAAAUAGGAUCUGUUUAAAAUCUUUUCGCCAACCAUACACUCCAUAAACUGGUGCUUCUAUGCCUAUUACUUGUAUUCGUUUGUGGCUGGCAUCCAAUGGUCAAUACCACUGUGCCUCUCUCGCUGAGGAAUGACUGCCUGCUUGCGUCACAAAACCAGGUGUGCUCACACGCAAGGGUUUCCCUAAAAAAAUGGGCUGCUAGGCAACAGCGUCAGAGAAUAACAAACAGCAGGACUCCCAAGCACGCAACACACCUAUAGAGAGCAAUAAAGGCAUUCAGCGUCCUGUGCAACUCAAUACAAAUCAUAGCAUGUUGUUUUGGAAUGACAUGAAGCCUGGCAGACAGUAGCUUCAAGCCACUUCCUCAACCACAUUCCAGAACCGCGAAAUACGCCACUUCAGAGCACAGGAGGUGACAUCAACUGAAUGCGGGCUGCUGACCUCAGCUCUUGAAAUAGCCCUCCAUGGUUAGCUGGAAGGAAAGGUGCUUGUAGGUCAUUUUCCCCCAAUUCAUCCUUACAUAUUUCAGUUUGGAUUCUCUCAGACUAAAGCAAAACCAUUAGUGUUGCACUGCAAAGGAUGUGCCCAUACAGAAAAUAUUUUUAUUGGGAAAAAAAUUAUGUGCGUUAUGCAUAAUCCACAGAUUAUCUUGCUUAUGAUUUCUUUGUUAUGUAUUAGGUUCUUGGCUAGAUCUUGCCUAGAACUGCCACGGCUGGCUAGCUAAUGCUUUUGGACACAAUGUAAAUUACAGUGAAAGGAUAGAUUGGGGAGAAUCAGAACAUUAUUUUGGAUCCAAAACAUAUGUAAAUAAGAAAUUAGCGUGUACAGCACCUCCUCAGAGCCCAAAGCAGCAAUCAAUCUCUCGGCAAUCAAGCCAAAAUGAAACAAGGCCCAGAUGGAGCUCAGCAGGCUAUUCAUCAUGUAGUUAAAAUCCAAACAUGUCAUUAGCAGAGACAAUAGCUGGAAGUGUCAAAAACAAGCUAGUUUGUAUACCUUUAAAUGUACUUAAAUGCAACCUUUUGUGGCGUUAAAUAGUUAUAGUUAUGAAUUUUGAACCAAAUGGAAGGUAGCUGAUCUUCUGCCAAGCUGGUCAGGCUUGUCUAUUUUAGUGGUUGUAAAGGGGUUAAAAUUAGUGGUGUAAAAAUUAGCGCGUUAACGCAGGCGAUUAAUUUUUUUUUUAUUUUAACACGUUAAAAACAUUUAACACAAUUAACACAGAGGCGGGUCUAGGUUUGGCCACCCCAUCCACAGCCACUAAAGAAUUGCGUUUAUUGAGACGCAGAACUUAAUAAUUAACACAUCAAAUAGAAGACUUUUCAGACGCGCGCUCCAGUGUCACCUCAGCAACAGGCCGGAGUCAAACGAGCGUGGAAACGGUACCGGUGACGAUUGGAGCUUCAGUAGAACAACAGUGAAAUGCGGUCAGAUGAGAUGUUGUCUGGUCAUAUGUCAGUAAAAACGAAUCUUCCUGUCCUGUCAGCUGUUCAAGUGCAGGCACAAAUAUGCCGGCGCGCGCUGUAUCAUACUCAAACCCAAAUGAAAGUAGGAGUAUCUAUGUAGUUAGUCGUAGUUAUGUCGUCAGUUAAACAAUGAAGUUACAAAAAAAGUCGACUAAAGUUCUCUUAAAACGGUGCGUGUAAGUGUUUAUUAUUUAAGAGUCACAUUUAAAGCAGUGUCAGAUCCGCUUCAUGUUCAGCAGCGGCAACUUUUAAAGGGGUCCAAUUAUGCUCUUUUACAAAGCCUUGAUUUUGUUUUGGGGGUGUACUAGAACAUGCUUUCAUGCUUGGUGAAAACGCACUUGGUCGAAAAACGCAUUAUUUUUAACAUAAUUUACAUUAUCACAAUACAUUUCUCCCAGCCUGACACAAAUGGCUCGAUUAGUUCUGGGUUUAGUGUAGGCCCGCCUUCUGAAAAACAAAAUGUGUUGUGAUUGGUUAGCUCUCCCACUGCGCUGUGAUUGGCGAACAGCUUAGACAGUAUUUCAGUAUUGCCACGCCCCUUGUCAAAGAAGCAAGAUCAGUGUACAACUGUUAGCGCGAGCUAGAUUGAAGUGAUUCUUACGUUUUAAAUAUGGAUAUUUUUCUUACAAAAAUGCAUCGAUUCAUUACAGGAGGCCUUUAUUAACCCCCUGGAGCUGUGUGAGGCACUUUUUUAUUAUGGACGGAUGCAUAUUAUUGGACUUGUUUUGGACUGAUGAGGAAAAACACCUGUCUAUGCCAUUCUAAAGCUUGGGAGUGCUAGGAUAAAUUUUAAUAUAUCUCGGAUUGCAUUCGUCUGAAAUAAGCAGGUCAUAUACACCUAGGAUGCAUGGAGGGUGAGUAAAUAAUAUGCUACAGUAGUGUUAGGUCCUAUCGUCAGCCUGCAAGAUCACCAAUACAUGAUAUUAUCGUGGUAAUGUGUUUAAUUAUUUACAUACUUAGUUUCAUUGCCCGAAACCAGCUCCAGCAUAAGGCUAAAAGCAACCUAACAUUAUCAAAGAACAUCAUCACUGAUCAGCCUAGUCUAUUCUAGUGCAAGUUUAUGCAUUUUGAAAAACACUCGCUUUAAAAGUGAAGCUGUCUACACUGUAUGAUGAAUAAAUCUCUUACCACACACUGCAUACGUCUGUGGCGCAUUACAGCUCUGAAGCGGCCACUCUAGUCCAUGCUUGUGUUUAUACCCGCCGCGCUGCGGCUUGUAAAGCGGCAUCACUGAAGUUAGACUAAUCCCCCACCUCGUCCCUACAGCCCCCCCCAUCCCCUCCCCCCCAACAAUUCAAAUUUCCAUGGGCGUGAUUUGAUUUAAUGAUAUUCUAAUGGACCGUGUUGUGACGUCAUUGCAUGCGGAAAACAAACUUUGUAGUCAUUGUAGGUCUUGAAAAGGGAUUUUUUAAAAACUAAAUAUCUCCUUUUGUAGUGAACUUUGAGAUUUGUAACUUUGUAGAUCUUUUUUUAUGCCCAAAGAUACACACCACACACUAAAAUUCAAAAAGUGAAAAAGCAUAAUAGCACCCCUUUAAAGUGACAGCAGCCAAAAUAUCCUAAUAACCAGCUGCUGUGAUGUCUGUUAAAGAACAAAAUUUUAAAAAAGUGGAAAUCAAUAACUUCAGUAGUUUUAAGCUUUGUCUCUUAUUUAAUUUAGAUUUUAGUCUUUAAGAACUUUAUUAAAUUUGGCUAUAUUUUCUUGCUGAAGGGCACGGGUAGUUAUAUGACAGUUAUUAUAAUGGGUUUAUGUGAAGAUUGUUUUAAGUUCACUUAAAUUACAAGUCUAAUAAAUGUUAAAUUAAAAGCUCUCAAUUAUAAUGUUGAAUGGCUGUAGUCAAUGGUUCAAUAUUAGGGAAAAAAAUCAUAGAGAAAUCUGUUGGUAUGAGUGAUACUUACCUUUAGUCAUAAAAAAAGAUGUCAUUAAAAAAUAUCAGAAAUGUUGAAGAUUGAGUGUGAAAUUAUUGCAAUAUAAAAGGAUAAUUAAAAUUUGUAAUGUUAGGUGGGAUUAAUCGCGAUUGAUUUCAGAAAAAAUGUGUGAUUAAUUAGUUUUUUUUUUUUAAUCGAUUGACACCACUACUUAAAAUACAUAUAUAAUAGCAAUGAGGCAAUAAUAAUUAGUUCAGUUAAAGUACCAAAAGCAAGUAAUCAUACUGAAUUAAUUUUAUUGAACAAAACUGUUAAAAUACAUACUAUAAACAAUAGAGCUAAUGUACAUUACGCAUUAUAACAUGCCUGCAGGGGAUGCCAACGACCUGACGAUUGUUUUUACACUUUACUACAUGAUCUAAUCCUUGUUUAAUUAAUUUGACUAAACAACAUUUAAUUCAAAUGUCCACUUAAUCUUUAAUAUUUGCCAGUUUCUUUAUGAUAGAAAAGCUACAGCCACUGUAAUGUCUUGUGGACAUCAAAACGUGUAAACUCUUUCUGUGUUUGCGUAGGUUUAUAAAUUAUUUACCUUACAAAUCUGAUGAAAUAACACACAUUGCAUUCCCAGAUGAACGUUAUAAUAAACCCAAACUCACAGCAAUGUGC